RNAcentral lists this ribosomal RNA (490 nucleotides) under uncultured bacterium. RNAcentral describes it as "partial 16S ribosomal RNA". It matches the Rfam family "Bacterial small subunit ribosomal RNA", at positions 29 to 507 of the family's 1533-position model. The record is from RNAcentral.
AGUGAACGCUGGCGGUAGGCCUAACACAUGCAAGUCGAACGGCAGCACAGGAGAGCUUGCUCUCUAGGUGGCGAGUGGCGGACGGGUGAGGAAUACAUCGGAAUCUGCCCAGUCGUGGGGGAUAACGUAGGGAAACUUACGCUAAUACCGCAUACGACCUUCGGGUGAAAGAGGGGGAUCGCAAGACCUCUCGCGAUUGGAUGAGCCGAUGCCGGAUUAGCUAGUUAGCGGGGUAAUGGCCCACCAAGGCGACGAUCCGUAGCUGGUCUGGGAGGAUGAUCAGCCACACUGGAACUGAGACACGGUCCAGACUCCUACGGGAGGCAGCAGUGGGGAAUAUUGGACAAUGGGCGCAAGCCUGAUCCAGCCAUACCGCGUGGGUGAAGAAGGCCUUCGGGUUGUAAAGCCCUUUUGUUGGGAAAGAAAUCGUUCAGGCUAAUACCCUGGGAGGAUGACGGUACCCAAAGAAUAAGCACCGGCUAACUUCGUG